CACUAGUAUAUCACGCCUGAUAAUGUUUUAAAAAUAUAGGUUAGUUGUAGCCGUUGUAGGUGAGUUGUAUUUAUUUUGAAGAUUUUGACGCCAAAUCUGUAUAGAAAACCGUUCAACGUAAAUGGCAAGAACUGUGGAGAAGGAAAUGAACCUUUCGGAUUUACCAGUCGAACCUAUAGAAGAAAAGUAUAAUAGAUAUUUUAGAGACACAGAAGUUGAAACCAAAAGGCUUAUUCAUAACUAUCUUAAUAUGUUAACAGCCGUAGACAAUAAGGCUCAAGAAAACAAAAAGCAAGAGGGUGAACAUGUAGAAGUGGUUAAUCAAAAUAAAGAAAAUGAGACAAACAACAAGGAUGGAGACAAUUUUAAGAUGAUUGCAAAAAAGAAAAAGAAAAUUAUUGAGAAAUUAAAAUAUUUGGUUAACAAACUAAAAACGACACAUUAUUCGGAAACAAUUAAAAAUACCUUAAAGCAGUAUGUGUUAGCAGAACCUCAAGCAAGGCGUGUACUUGUGGAUAUAAUUAUGGCCACUAAUGAUAAGUAUUUUAAAAUUAGGCUAAGAGCUUUUAUUCAGGAAAUGAAUGAAGAAGCAUUAGAUCCAGGAGAUAAAUCCACUCCGAUAAAAUCAGCUGAAAAUAAUAAUCAACCAAAAACUCCCGAAACGGGAACAUCAUCUUCUGAAAAUUAUAAUAAUGGUAGAAGAAGAUCAUUAAGAUUGUCCAAACAUCCCCCAGGAUCCUUGCAUUCAGAAGAUAAACCUGCUAUGACAACAACAUCUGGAAAUAAUAACCAGCCAAAAACUUCCAAAACGCCAACAUCACUUUAUGAAAAUGAUAAUAAGGGUAGAAGAAGAUCAUUGAGAUUGUCCACGCAUCCCCCAGGAUAUUUUCAAACUAAACCAGCUAUGGUUUUUUAUAUCCUACCCGAUGAUACUGUCCGUGAACGAGAAAAUACUUCAAGGAUUAAGAAGUUAACACAUACCGUUCCAAAAAUUAAACGAAGGAAAUUGUAUAAUCCCAAUUCGAUUUAGUUCAAGAUAUUUUUCGUUCUCGUUUAUUUUAGUUUUUAUUAAUAUUUUAUCGAAAAAAUACUACAAAAAUUAAAAGUGACGACUGUGAUAACACCGAAAGAUCGCCGCUUCAACAUACCCUUCUAUAAGUUAAAUGGUACAAUCAGU
Molecule: unclassified non-coding RNA, 1177 nt
Filed under: Onthophagus taurus
Lineage: Eukaryota; Metazoa; Arthropoda; Insecta; Coleoptera; Scarabaeidae
Description: uncharacterized LOC111422589, transcript variant X4
Source: RNAcentral